RNAcentral lists this ribosomal RNA (274 nucleotides) under uncultured bacterium. Its description in RNAcentral is "partial 16S ribosomal RNA". It matches the Rfam family "Bacterial small subunit ribosomal RNA", at positions 523 to 796 of the family's 1533-position model. The record is from RNAcentral.
AUACAGAGGGUGCAAGCGUUAAUCGGAAUUACUGGGCGUAAAGCGCGCGUAGGUGGUUAGUUAAGUUGGAUGUGAAAGCCCUGGGCUCAACCUGGGAAUGGCAUUCAAAACUGGCUGACUAGAGUAUGGUAGAGGGAAGGGGACUUCCAGGUGUAGCGGUGAAAUGCGUAGAUAUCUGGAGGAACAUCAGUGGCGAAGGCGCCUUCCUGGACUAAUACUGACACUGAGGUGCGAAAGCGUGGGUAGCAAACAGGAUUAGAUACCCCGGUAGUCC